UGGGGAAUAUUGGACAAUGGGCGAAAGCCUGAUCCAGCAAUGCCGCGUGAGUGAUGAAGGCCUUAGGGUUGUAAAGCUCUUUUACCAGGGAGGAUAAUGACAGUACCUGGAGAAUAAGCUCCGGCUAACGCCGUGCCAGCAGCCGCGGUAAUACGGAGGGGGCUAGCGUUGUUCGGAAUUACUGGGCGUAAAGCGUACGUAGGCGGCUUUGUAAGUUAGAGGUGAAAGCCCAGAGCUCAACUCUGGAAUUGCCUUUAAGACUGCAUCGCUUGAAUCGUAGAGAGGUUAGUGGAAUUCCGAGUGUAGAGGUGAAAUUCGUAGAUAUUCGGAAGAACACCAGUGGCGAAGGCGACUAACUGGACACGUAUUGACGCUGAGGUACGAAAGCGUGGGGAGCAAA
RNAcentral lists this ribosomal RNA (400 nucleotides) under uncultured bacterium. RNAcentral's name for it is "bacterial SSU rRNA". It matches the Rfam family "Bacterial small subunit ribosomal RNA", at positions 355 to 772 of the family's 1533-position model. The record is from RNAcentral.